Cherax quadricarinatus is the source of this 900-nucleotide non-coding RNA. The record is from RefSeq and is a predicted model, not a curated record. NCBI's taxonomy places the organism in Eukaryota, Metazoa, Arthropoda, Malacostraca, Decapoda, Parastacidae.
UCAUGGUGUUUCUGCAGGCGUCCCACAGGUCACAGUGUUUCUGCAGGCGUCCCACAGGUCACGGUGUUUCUGCAGGUGUCCCACGGGUCACGGUGUUUCUGCAGGCAUCCUACGGGUCACGGUGUUUCUGCAGGUGUCCCACGGGUCACAGUGUUUCUGCAGGCGUCCCAUGGAUUACGGUGUUUCUGCAGGCGUCCCACAGGUCACGGUGUUUCUGCAGGCGUCCCACAGGCCAUGGUGUUUCUGCAGGUGUCCCACGGGUCACAGUGUUUCUGCAGGCAUCCCACGGGUUACAGUGUUUCUGCAGGCAUCCCACAGACAAAGUAUGGGUCAACAAGCAUGAAAAUCAUCCCUCUCCAAGGGACUACAACCAGAUAGUGGCAAGAUUGUGGGCAGCAGAUCAAAGACUAUGAGCACUGAAGAUCUUAAUUCUCUGAUUUUGGCUUCACUGGUUCACCCCAAAAAACGAAAUGGUGGAUUAUCCAGUAAUAUUCAAGCUCCAGCCACUGUUUGCAGAGAGCUGAGUGAGGGAAGUAAAGGAGGUUUUGUGGGUGAGGGGCUUCGGCAACAGCCUUGUGCGACCAUGUUAGAUAGGAGUGAGUAAUGUAACUAUCAACAGGAAUAUCAUCAAACACUGGAACAGGCAUAUGGUGCGUAACCUGAAGACUCCCUGUCUUCAAGAAUAAUAUAAGCAGCUACAAGAAGAAAAACAAACUCCAUAGUUGACCUGAGAGGUUGUGACAGCUACAGUCUCUUUACACUCAGAAACAAGGGCUGCAAUGAUGGCAGUAGAUGAGGAUGCAGAGGAUGAUGAAGCAGAAGACGAAGACGAUGAUGCCAGGACAGGUGAGCAGACCUUAUGAUGAGAGUCCCAGUCCUUGUGCUGGCAGAAGGGGCCAC